RNAcentral lists this ribosomal RNA (376 nucleotides) under uncultured organism. Its description in RNAcentral is "partial 16S ribosomal RNA". It matches the Rfam family "Bacterial small subunit ribosomal RNA", at positions 527 to 896 of the family's 1533-position model. The record is from RNAcentral.
GUAGGUGGCAAGCGUUGUCCGGAAUUAUUGGGCGUAAAGCGCGCGCAGGCGGGGUCCUUUAAGUCUGAUGUGAAAGCCCACGGGCUCAACCGUGGAGGGUCAUUGGAAACUGGGGGGACUUGAGUACAGAAGAGGAAAGCGGAAUUCCAAGUGUAGCGGUGAAAUGCGUAGAGAUUUGGAGGAACACCAGUGGCGAAGGCGGCUUUCUGGUCUGUAACUGACGCUGAGGCGCGAAAGCGUGGGGAGCAAACAGGAUUAGAUACCCUGGUAGUCCACGCCGUAAACGAUGAGUGCUAAGUGUUAGGGGGUUUCCGCCCCUUAGUGCUGCAGCUAACGCAUUAAGCACUCCGCCUGGGGAGUACGGCCGCAAAGGCUG